This 827-nucleotide long non-coding RNA is filed under the name Nothobranchius furzeri (turquoise killifish). Its description in RNAcentral is "lncRNA (ENSNFUG00015019335.1)". Lineage: Eukaryota; Metazoa; Chordata; Actinopteri; Cyprinodontiformes; Nothobranchiidae. The record is from RNAcentral.
AUGAGAUCAUCACAGGGCUGGUGUCUAGUACCGAGGACUUCAUCUAAAAGGAGUCAAUUUACUUCUGAAUGUGGCGGUAAUGGACACAGGAGCAAAGCGGUGGGCGUGGCACGAGCUCCAGCUGAUCCUGAUUCCGCUAAUCAGAGGGCCAGGGGAUUUAAGGAGCGGUGUGACACAACUCCAGCACCGUAUUGCGCCUCGCAUCCUCUAACCACGCCUGGAGUUGUUAUCCUCAUCCCGUCACUCGGGAUCCUCUGGCCUCCACUCUCCAUUGCUCUGCCUGCCUGCCAACCUACACCCUGGACUUACACAACCUUCUCCUGUCCACCUCCUCUACAACCACCGGACCUGCCGCCUCUCCUCCACUGAACUUCAACCCAGUCCACCACCGCUAAGAACUGGUUUAAGACCAUUUCCGGUCUGUUCCUGUUCCUGCUUUUCUGUAGCAGUGCCCUUGGUUUUUCCUUAGCUUCAUUUAAUAAAAUAUUUUACUCCUUUUACUUACUUGGUUUUCAUGUGUGGUUCUUCAUGUCCUGGUUAAGCACCUUGCCUACAACAUGACAGAGGUGGUAAGCGUUGCACAGGUCCAGCUUGGUAAAAAUAGAGGCAUCACAGGGUCAAAAGUUGAUGAAAGCAGCGGUAAAGGGUUUUUGGUUGUGAUCUGGUUCAGUCCUCAGUAGUCAAUGCAGGGAUGCAGGGAUCCAUCCUCAGUAGCGGUUUUAGGCACGGGCAGACAGGGCAGUUGCCCGGGGCGGCAUUUUUUCAUGACACAAAAGGGGCGCACAAGCGCUGAGUAAAAAAAAAAAAAAAAAAAAGGAAAUCUGCGC